UUAUCCACUCAGGGUCGGGGGGACACGUGUAGCGAGUUUGAUUGACAACGUCAGUGGGCGUUUACUAACUUGGUUAAUUUGGGUAACAUCCUUCUUUCUAUUUACAAGUUCACUUACUGGCACCAAAUCUUGGUUGACAAAUUCAAUUCAAUUUAUUAAAGAUGUUUCUGGCCAAAAGACUCAUUGGUGGCAUUCUUGAUGUUGUAAGGUAAGGAUCUGGCUAUAGUACUAAGGACCUCUUCUAAAUCAUUUGCACUUAUUAUGUAUAAACAAUGUUUAUACAUAAUGUAGUUAGUAGUGUUUUCUGGGCUUUGCCAAAUGGGAAGGGGGUUGAGGCUUUUUAGGUUGUGUGGGUGCAAGUGGAAUGAAAGUUGUCUAAUCUUAGAACCAAUUUAAGCAGUGCCAAAGUCCUAUCAUUGCAUAGACUUUCAGGUAUGGAUAAUAUAUUCUCACUGUGAUGUUUUAAUUAGUUUGGAAUCAAGAGAGAAUACAAGGUGUUAAUUGUUUAAGCUAAGUUGGACAGGAGCAUGAUUCUUCAGCUAGUAGUCACUGCAGCUAUUACCACUGACCAAGUCAAUCAAUGCCUCUAUAUCUCUGCAUAACUAUCACUCUUAGGAAUGCUACCCAGUGACUAACCUAUUCAUCUCCCCUGUGUCCCCUUCAGCAAUAUUGAUCCAGCUUCUUUUGUGCCCUCUGACCCAUUGAGUGGCAUUGCUAUUUCAUAAUUUAUCACCAGAAUACACAGUUGUUAUGGAUAAUAGUAACCUGAACAAUAAAUUCCUAAUUUCCUAACGUUGUUAUCCUGCAGCCUGCACCACGAAGGCCACUUGCGUAUGCAGAGCAGAGUGAGAGUGACGAGGAAAGACAGUUUCGCAAAGUCUUUCAGCAGUUGGCUGGAGAUGUGAGUACGAUAUUUCCUUGCUACUACUCCCUCACCAUAUUCCUAUUUUGGUUUAACUUCAUAUUACCUCUGUAAAAGUAAACACCUUGUGGCAACCAUACACCUUGCCAUUAAAAAGGCACCGUGACUGCUGAAAUGCCUUUGGUGCAGGAUGAUCUUCAUUUAAUGGCUCAAAUUCACUACUGAAUACUGUGAAUAGAUGCACUAUGCAUGCUAUGCUUCAAUGUUGGGAAUAAUUCAA
This 1142-nucleotide long non-coding RNA is filed under the name Oncorhynchus kisutch (coho salmon). Its description in RNAcentral is "lncRNA (ENSOKIG00005047037.1)". Lineage: Eukaryota; Metazoa; Chordata; Actinopteri; Salmoniformes; Salmonidae. The record is from RNAcentral.